This is a ribosomal RNA of Gadus morhua (Atlantic cod), 119 nucleotides long. NCBI's taxonomy places the organism in Eukaryota, Metazoa, Chordata, Actinopteri, Gadiformes, Gadidae. The record is from Ensembl.
GCUUACGGCCAUACCACCUUAGGCACGCCCGAUCUCGUCUGAUCUCGAAAGCUAAGCAGGGUCGGGCCUGGUUAGUACUUGGAUGGGUGACCGCCUGGGAAUACCAGGUGCUGUAAGCA